AGAGUUUGAUCAUGGCUCAGGACGAACGCUGGCGGCGUGCCUAAUACAUGCAAGUAGAACGCUGAAGAGAGGAGCUUGCUCUUCUUGGAUGAGUUGCGAACGGGUGAGUAACGCGUAGGUAACCUGCCUUGUAGCGGGGGAUAACUAUUGGAAACGAUAGCUAAUACCGCAUAACAAUGGAUGACACAUGUCAUUUAUUUGAAAGGGGCAAUUGUUCCACUACAAGAUGGACCUGCGUUGUAUUAGCUAGUAGGUGAGGUAAUGGCUCACCUAGGCGACGAUACAUAGCCGACCUGAGAGGGUGAUCGGCCACACUGGGACUGAGACACGGCCCAGACUCCUACGGGAGGCAGCAGUAGGGAAUCUUCGGCAAUGGGGGCAACCCUGACCGAGCAACGCCGCGUGAGUGAAGAAGGUUUUCGGAUCGUAAAGCUCUGUUGUAAGUCAAGAACGGGUGUGAGAGUGGAAAGUUCACACUGUGACGGUAGCUUACCAGAAAGGGACGGCUAACUACGUGCCAGCAGCCGCGGUAAUACGUAGGUCCCGAGCGUUGUCCGGAUUUAUUGGGCGUAAAGCGAGCGCAGGCGGUUUGAUAAGUCUGAAGUUAAAGGCUGUGGCUCAACCAUAGUUCGCUUUGGAAACUGUCAAACUUGAGUGCAGAAGGGGAGAGUGGAAUUCCAUGUGUAGCGGUGAAAUGCGUAGAUAUAUGGAGGAACACCGGUGGCGAAAGCGGCUCUCUGGUCUGUAACUGACGCUGAGGCUCGAAAGCGUGGGGAGCGAACAGGAUUAGAUACCCUGGUAGUCCACGCCGUAAACGAUGAGUGCUAGGUGUUGGAUCCUUUCCGGGAUUCAGUGCCGCAGCUAACGCAUUAAGCACUCCGCCUGGGGAGUACGACCGCAAGGUUGAAACUCAAAGGAAUUGACGGGGGCCCGCACAAGCGGUGGAGCAUGUGGUUUAAUUCGAAGCAACGCGAAGAACCUUACCAGGUCUUGACAUCCCGAUGCUAUUUCUAGAGAUAGAAAGUUACUUCGGUACAUCGGUGACAGGUGGUGCAUGGUUGUCGUCAGCUCGUGUCGUGAGAUGUUGGGUUAAGUCCCGCAACGAGCGCAACCCCUAUUGUUAGUUGCCAUCAUUCAGUUGGGCACUCUAGCGAGACUGCCGGUAAUAAACCGGAGGAAGGUGGGGAUGACGUCAAAUCAUCAUGCCCCUUAUGACCUGGGCUACACACGUGCUACAAUGGUUGGUACAACGAGUUGCGAGUCGGUGACGGCGAGCUAAUCUCUUAAAGCCAAUCUCAGUUCGGAUUGUAGGCUGCAACUCGCCUACAUGAAGUCGGAAUCGCUAGUAAUCGCGGAUCAGCACGCCGCGGUGAAUACGUUCCCGGGCCUUAUACACACCGCCCGUCACACCACGAGAGUUUGUAACACCCGAAGUCGGUGAGGUAACCUUUUGGAGCCAGCCGCCUAAGGUGGGACAGAUGAUUGGGGUGAAGUCGUAACAAGGUA
This 1506-nucleotide ribosomal RNA is filed under the name metagenome. RNAcentral's name for it is "bacterial SSU rRNA". It matches the Rfam family "Bacterial small subunit ribosomal RNA". The record is from RNAcentral.